Molecule: long non-coding RNA, 353 nt
Filed under: Marmota monax (woodchuck)
Lineage: Eukaryota; Metazoa; Chordata; Mammalia; Rodentia; Sciuridae
Source: RNAcentral
GGAUUAUAGGCAUGCACCACCAUGCCUGGCCUCUGUCACUUUAUAUCUGUGUGAAUUUGAGUACGGCACUUACUUUUACUCUGUGCCUCACUUUCUUUACUUAUGAACCCAGAGGAAAAAUGGAACUUUCUCCUUAUGAACAUUUCAUGACUUAGUAUACGUAAAUUGAAGCAGAAUAAGGCCUUUCUAAGUGUCUUUAUUGGCAAUAAACAAGUGACACUUAUCACAGGAAUUAAAUAGAAAAAAAUAGAUAGCUCCAACAAUAUCUAUAUUUAUUUCACAAUAACAUUGAUCAUAUGUGAAGUCAAAUGAGACUAAAUAAAUAGAUAGCAAAAGGAGGGAUUAUAUAUCCC